AUGGGAUCCGCCGUCUCUUCCGCCAUAGCCGACGCAGCAGUGGAGUUUUUACACCUUGACGGGCAGAUCGUGGACGAGGACGAUCCCCACGGGCUGCCCCUCGACCAGCAACAACGCCAUGUCCAACGCUUCAUGGACAGGUUGGAGCGCAAGCGUCGCCGCAACCUUGUCUUGUACGGCCCCCGCUCAGAAGGAGCGCAACAAAGCCAUCGUUCUCCCACAUGUCCAGAUCGCCCUUCGCCACUACAAUUCGAACAACCCGGGUGCAGAGUUCAGGGUGCAGAGCUUGUCAGUCCUAUGUCGUGCAACCGUGUCGGAUUCAGGGACGAGAUUUGGUUUCACUUCAACUUUUUAGCUCGCCGGUGCCUCAAAAAGCACAACUUCUGCGCUCGCGGUAGGGUUGCUCCAGAACCAGAUACCUCUGACCAGUAUUUCUUCGCUGAGCUACACUAUGACCGCUUCGGCAAACCAGUUGUCGAAACGUGCACUAUAUUGGAAAAACCGAUUUGCCAAUUUAAAGGAAAGUGUGCCUUUUGCAAGGGCUCAGUUGGGAUUUGGCACCCUAGGAACGGAGGAUUUUUGUGUGGAAGGGAGGGACAGAAAAAGGAGUAUUGUCAGAUGUUUAUGUUGAGUGAAAGGCCCAAGAAAGGACCAGAGGAGGAACCUUCUUCAGUUCCAAGGCUAUUUGAUGAGUUGCCACUAGCUGCCUAG
This 711-nucleotide ribosomal RNA is filed under the name Triticum aestivum (bread wheat). RNAcentral describes it as "partial small subunit ribosomal RNA". The record is from RNAcentral. Lineage: Eukaryota; Viridiplantae; Streptophyta; Magnoliopsida; Poales; Poaceae.